GCGGCUUUAGCUCACUUGGGAGAGCGCCAGACUGAAGCUUCAACUUCAGGAAUAAUGAAAUCUGGAGGCACUGUGUUCGAUCCACAGAAGCCGCA
This 95-nucleotide transfer RNA is filed under the name Cadophora sp. M221. It matches the Rfam family "tRNA". From Rfam's summary of the family: Transfer RNA (tRNA) molecules are approximately 80 nucleotides in length. Lineage: Eukaryota; Fungi; Ascomycota; Leotiomycetes; Helotiales; Ploettnerulaceae. The record is from Rfam by way of RNAcentral.